UGAGAUAUGGUGUAAUGGCAGCACUAGAGUUUUUGGCACUCUCAGUUGAGGUUCGAAUCCUCAUAUCUCAACCA
Molecule: transfer RNA, 74 nt
Filed under: Bacteroidales bacterium
Lineage: Bacteria; Pseudomonadati; Bacteroidota; Bacteroidia; Bacteroidales
Also listed under: 1 other name
Description: tRNA-Gln
Rfam family: tRNA
About the family: Transfer RNA (tRNA) molecules are approximately 80 nucleotides in length. Their secondary structure includes four short double-helical elements and three loops (D, anti-codon, and T loops).
Source: RNAcentral